Molecule: small nuclear RNA, 19 nt
Filed under: Arabidopsis thaliana (thale cress)
Lineage: Eukaryota; Viridiplantae; Streptophyta; Magnoliopsida; Brassicales; Brassicaceae
Description: snRNA_07340
Source: RNAcentral
GCAUGUGAUACCUUUUCGG